This is a small nucleolar RNA of Dioscorea cayenensis subsp. rotundata (Guinea yam), 107 nucleotides long. NCBI's taxonomy places the organism in Eukaryota, Viridiplantae, Streptophyta, Magnoliopsida, Dioscoreales, Dioscoreaceae. The record is from RefSeq and is a predicted model, not a curated record.
AUGCCAUGCUAAGGGCAUUUUCUCAAUAUCUCCUUAUACCUUUCCCAUGUGUCGUACAAGGAUUCAGAUUCUAUCUACCAGAAAGAGGAGAUAUCACUCCUCAACUU